RNAcentral lists this ribosomal RNA (486 nucleotides) under Triticum aestivum (bread wheat). RNAcentral's name for it is "partial small subunit ribosomal RNA". The record is from RNAcentral. Lineage: Eukaryota; Viridiplantae; Streptophyta; Magnoliopsida; Poales; Poaceae.
AUGGCGCCCACAGUGGCCGGAUCACUACUGCCCCUGUCGGUCAUCGUCCUUGCGACGGUCGCAUCGACCGUUCUGCUGGCGCCGGUGGCGGCGAAGGACAUUGACGCGCUCUUGGCCCUGAAGAGCGGCUUACAUGACCCCAACGGCGCAUUGAAGAGCUGGGACCCGCAGCUGGUGAACCCUUGCACUUGGUUCUACAUCACGUGCGGCGACAGCAACCGCGUCACCCGCAUAGGCCUUGCCCGCCUGAACCUGUCCGGACCGCUGGCGCCGGAGCUUGGCCAACUGGACCGCCUAGAAUAUUUGGCAAUUUAUGACAACCACUUCACCGGCCCGAUCCCGAAGGAACUGGUUGGGCUGUCCAACCUGAUAAAUGCGGAUUUCUCAAACAACGACUUUUGCGGCCCGAUUCCAACCGCUGGACCGUUUAAGCACAUACCUCGUCGUAGCUUUGCCAACAACCCGCGCCUGGGCAAGAAGUGCUAG